This 440-nucleotide ribosomal RNA is filed under the name uncultured bacterium. RNAcentral describes it as "bacterial SSU rRNA". It matches the Rfam family "Bacterial small subunit ribosomal RNA", at positions 340 to 773 of the family's 1533-position model. The record is from RNAcentral.
UACGGAAGGCAGCAGUGGGGAAUAUUGCACAAUGGGCGCAAGCCUGAUGCAGCCAUGCCGCGUGUAUGAAGAAGGCCUUCGGGUUGUAAAGUACUUUCAGUCGUGAGGAAGGUGUUAAGGUUAAUAACCUUAGCAAUUGACGUUAGCGACAGAAGAAGCACCGGCUAACUCCGUGCCAGCAGCCGCGGUAAUACGGAGGGUGCGAGCGUUAAUCGGAAUUACUGGGCGUAAAGGGCACGCAGGCGGUUAAUUAAGUUGGAUGUGAAAUCCCCGGGCUUAACCUGGGAAUGGCAUUCAAGACUGGUUAGCUAGAGUCUUGUAGAGGGGGUAGAAUUCCAUGUGUAGCGGUGAAAUGCGUAGAGAUGUGGAGGAAUACCGGUGGCGAAGGCGGCCCCUGGGACAAAGACUGACGCUCAUGCGCGAAAGCGUGGGGAGCAAAC